Oxyura jamaicensis (ruddy duck) is the source of this 149-nucleotide long non-coding RNA. RefSeq lists it as uncharacterized. The transcript is spliced from 4 exons. The record is from RefSeq and is a predicted model, not a curated record. Lineage: Eukaryota; Metazoa; Chordata; Aves; Anseriformes; Anatidae.
CUUCCAUCCCAUCUUUUGGCUUUAGAACACAGGUGCUAGAAAUUCCCUUCUCCAGGAAAUGAGCAAGUGUUUCAUUUUCCAUUCAACUGAGUGUGUUUUCAUGAAAAGGGUUGAAAGAAUACACAAUCAUAGAAUUUCUAGGUGGAAGA